This 253-nucleotide ribosomal RNA is filed under the name uncultured bacterium. RNAcentral describes it as "partial 16S ribosomal RNA". It matches the Rfam family "Bacterial small subunit ribosomal RNA", at positions 524 to 776 of the family's 1533-position model. The record is from RNAcentral.
UACGUAGGGGGCGAGCGUUAUCCGGAUUCACUGGGUGUAAAGGGAGCGUAGACGGCCAUGCAAGCCAGGGGUGAAAGCCCGGGGCCCAACCCCGGGACUGCCCUUGGAACUGCAUGGCUGGAGUGCGGGAGGGGCAGGCGGAAUUCCUGGUGUAGCGGUGAAAUGCGUGGAUAUCAGGAGGAACACCGGCGGCGAAGGCGGCCUGCUGGACCGCGACUGACGUUGAGGCUCGAAAGCGUGGGGAGCGAACAGG